UCUACUCUGUGAACUUUGCUUCUUCUGGAACUCAAUUAAUGGAUCUUGUAUAGUAGCACUACUUGUAUUGUUCUCUGCUUGAUAUAUCGCUUUGCUUGUAUUUUCUCAUUUGUAAGUCACUUUGGAUAAAAGCGUCUGCUAAGUGAAUAAAUGUAAUUGUAAAUGUACUAUACAGUAGGUAAGUACGCGGUUUGGGACGCAGCCCACAGCUUCAAGCAGUCACAUAUAGCGUGACAAAUAAUAAACUGCACUUGAAGCGUUCAUAAAAUACCUUAAUCACAAUAUUAUCUUAUUCAGAAUCAGGUCAAUAAUUUGAUUAUUGUUGUCAAUCUAAACGUACUGAUUGUCUCUGUCAGACCACUCAUGCAAAAGUCAGCGACGUCACGUGUAGUGUACAGACAGAGCAAAAAUGAAGCGAGGAGGAAUGGGCUUUAAGGUGAAGCCUUUUUUCGUUUAAUCCCGUUCCCAUAUAUGGAGCACUAAAUUCUUUUCAUGCCAAUAAAAAAGAUCUAUUGGUUUUGAGCGAGGAAAUAAAAGUUCUCCACGUGUAAUCCUGCAGUUUAUUUUUCUAUUAGUGUUUAAAGUCGGCAUUAGUUAUCUCCUCGCGUAGUCAUAUUUUGAUCAUGAGUGAUGAGGUUUCGCGGACCAAUCGUCACAUGCUUCCCGCUUGACCAAUAAGGGAGCCGCUUUUUGGAACGACAUUUAAAAAUAAGUCCAAGAUGGCUGCGCCCUUGUCUGCAAUAUCGAGUAGCGAAGAAGAGGAAAUUACGGACAGACCUACUUCAAAACUCCGUAAAAAGGAUUAUAAACAAUGCUAUAUGCAACUCACGCCCAUAAAGAAAGGGGAACUAAGGAUUUUACACGCAUACGGUGGGAUAUAUUCAGAAACGGCGUCAAACGGUGGCUUGACUUGCAUGGUGAGAAUCGGAGAAUAGCAUAAACAUUGUCUAGAAACCGAGUUUGACAAUGUUCCCUAAGACGCUGGGUUUCACUUCACUUGCUACAGGCGUUUCAUUGACAAAAAGCGCAUGGAUGUGGCCGAGAAACGGGUCAGACAUCGUCCUGAAGCUCAAGAUGCUCACGAAGGCCAGUCUGUGUCAUGGGAUAGUAGUACUUCAACAAUUGAAUGUCCGACAAAGAAACUUAGCUUGUGCAGGUCCUGUGCCUCCUGCCUUGUGCAUAAUUUGUAAGAAAACGGACAAGUACUUUACUGUGGCAGGCCAACGCCAGAAAGACCAUCUUUCACAGGCAGAAACAUUGUCAGCAGGCCAGUUGCUGAAAGCUGCUGAGAUGUGAGGUGCGAUAUUACAAGUCCUGUUACAGACAGUACACCAGGUUCUUGACAAAGUCUACUGCAACAGUUACUGGGACCUCAGAAGAACAGCGAGUUAUAUUUCAUUAUCAAAUAAUAAUUAAUAAUUCCCUCACAUUAUUGCACAUUUCCAAAGUAAAGCAUUGACCAUCUACAUAGUAUAUAUUGUCGGUUUGUCUGUAAACACAAUCUUGACUGCACAACUCUUGGCACAGUAAUUCAAUGAUAAAAUGUGUGGUUCGUGAAGACGUAAGAAACUACAAAUAAUUUAUUACCAAUGUAUUUUCUUUCUGAAGAGUAAAUAAAAUAAAAAAAAAUCUUCUCAAAUUGCUUGGUCACCUGCUUUUGAUUUGCUACUAUUUGUACCAUAGAAGUACAAAAAUAGAAGCCAUUGUCAAAUAGUUAUGGCACAUAAAAUAAUAUCCUUUCUGUUUUUUAACGUUUUCUUUUCAGAAAUGAGCCAACCUUCGAUGCCAGCUACAAGAUCUUCUGUGAGAGGAUAAUCCGCCAUAUAUUAAUUGUAAACCAAGAGGUGCUGACAGUGACGCAGUUCAGAAGGAUCUUAAAUCUUGUGAAAAAACAUUAAGAUCUUGAUGCUUCAAACUAAAGGCAGGAUACAUUGAAGAGGAGGUUGAUCCGUGAUUUCCUAGCUGGUGUUUCACUCCCCCAACAAGCACAACAUCUGUGAGAUGGCUUUUGUUGAGACAUUGACAUAAGAUUUUGUUUUUUAAAAAUUCAUAAUUAUAUACAUUUAUGGAUCGUGACAAAAACCUGCAGGAUAUUUUGUGGAGAACUUUUCUGUUUAGUCCAUCAGAGCGGUGUUUAUGCAAAAAUGAAUUUUAAAAGUAGUGCCCAGGCGUGGGAAUGAAAAUCACUUUCUAGCCACUUUUUUUUUUUUAUUGUUCACCUUAUGGCCUAGAAAGCAAAAAGUUUAUUAAAGCCUGUGAAGUGUUUUUAGUGUACAGAUUUGCCUUUGGCGUGAAGGCAAGUUUGCAGUUCUGCAAGUGCUGACUGCUCUAACUUUACGGAUUAUGGUAGCAUCACAGACAAAGGCGGCUGGGACAGGCAGCAGGGUUCAUUCUCUCUCGGUCUGUCUGUCCAAAUGAAACCCUGAACUCUGCAGCCAUGAUCUUAUGUGAGUUUGUCACAUGAUGAGUGGGCCAUUCAGAUGUGGAUUCAUGUUCAGUGCUACUUCAAAUAAUUAUUACCACAAUUUAGAAAUAAUGUUUUAAUAUUCUGAUGUCCUACUGUACCAUACAGUGACUUAUUGUUUGCUCUUGGUUAGUGGUUGUAGUGAAAGACAUUCAUUAAUAUAAGCCUAAUAUCAAAUUACUUUCAUAAUAGAAAAUAAUUCAUUAUGAUUAUUAUAGCAGUAGUCAUAGUAGUAGUGGUCUAUUUUUUGGGUGUAAAAUGAUUAGCUGUGUUUGAUGUUAGUGUUAAAAUAUAAAAUUUCAGUCCUGAUUCAGGAGUUGUACAGCUGAGUGGUGCAGCUCUCCUACUCUGCACCCAGAUGUUGCCCCCUGACUAGCUAACAUGCUGUCUUUAUUCUUUUAUAUUCUUUGUAACACUGUUCUUCUGUUUGCCUAGUUUACAAAUAUGACUUGAUAUCUGUUCAGUGCUACUUCAAAUAAAAAUGUUUUAAAUAGCAUGUAUGUUUCUGUAUUAUGUU
Ictalurus punctatus (channel catfish) is the source of this 2981-nucleotide long non-coding RNA. RefSeq lists it as uncharacterized. Lineage: Eukaryota; Metazoa; Chordata; Actinopteri; Siluriformes; Ictaluridae. The transcript is spliced from 3 exons. The record is from RefSeq and is a predicted model, not a curated record.